UACGGGAGGCAGCAGUGGGGAAUAUUGCACAAUGGGCGAAAGCCUGAUGCAGCUAUGCCGCGUGUAUGAAGAAGGCCUUAGGGUUGUAAAGUACUUUCAUCGGGGAGGAAAAACAAAACUAAUAAUUUUAUUUCUUGACGUUACCCGAAAAAGAAGCACCGGCUAACUCCGUGCCAGCAGCCGCGGUAAUACGGAGGGUGCUAGCGUUAAUCAGAAUUACUGGGCGUAAAGAGCACGUAGGUGGUUUUUUUAAGUCAGAUGUGAAAUCCCUGGGCUUAACCUGGAACUGCAUUUUGAAACUGAAAUACUAGAGUAUCGUAGAGGGAGGUAGAAUUCUAGGUGUAGCGGUGAAAUGCGUAGAUAUCUGGAGGAGUACCUGUGGCGAAAGCGGCCUCCUAAACGAAUACUGACACUGAGGUGCGAAAGCGUGGGGAGCAAACAGGGAUUAGAUACC
This 454-nucleotide ribosomal RNA is filed under the name uncultured bacterium. RNAcentral's name for it is "bacterial SSU rRNA". It matches the Rfam family "Bacterial small subunit ribosomal RNA", at positions 340 to 786 of the family's 1533-position model. The record is from RNAcentral.